AGGUGGAGAGACUAGUGGUUGUAGCAGCAGUCACUUGAUCCAGCAUCCUAUGUGCCUGUGCGCUCUCCGUUACCCGCCGAUCCGGCUUGGUGUGCUUCUCCUGUUUGCGGGUUGUGUGCCACACACUUGAUUAAGCACCGCACGUUCUCCUACAGUGCGCCCUUGACCCUGGCUUUAGGUAGCGUCAUGUCCUCGGCUUACCGUGCAUAAUCCAGGUAUGCGUCGACUGUCUGAGCUCCUGCUCACAAUUGGUGUUGCUCGAGCGUGGGUUCUGGUGUCGCCCAUAAAGGGAACACGGGAUGUGGGAUUGAGACAGUUCACAUAGCAACCCACAGCAAGGCAAAGGAUGCCCAUCCAGACUGGCAGGGAGUGGAGGUAGACACAAAAAGGUGGGCUCGUACGUAAGAGCAGCAGGAGCAAGAAGAUCCAGGAUAUACUUCUCUUAACAAAUAAAGAUGAAGCAGUAUGUUAGUUUCUGUGGGCAAGUAAGAGGAUCCUGCUGUUUACAACAUGUUAACAAAUAAGAGGAUCCACGUAGCGAUGACCUCCUUUCGAGGCGAAAGGAGAUGGACCCCGGACAUCAAAGUGAACAAGGUUGAAAGGAUGUUGAGACACUGUCUUGGUAUUUAGCAUAAGGUAACUAUAGCUGUUUACCAAGCCGACAACCCACACGGUUUAAAGACAUCGUCGGAGACUGAUCCAAGAAGACCACGUCAAACUAAGGAUGCUCGAUGAGAGCCACAUAAGUGACCCCAGGCGACGAUGCCACUUCUAAGCAUAACUGGUAGACAAGGUAACAAAGGUGGAGAGACUAGCGGCUGUAGCAGCAGAGUCACUUGAUCCAACAUCCUACGUGCCUGUGCGCUCCCGUUACCCGCCGAUCCGGCUUGGUGUGCUUCUCCUGUUUGCGGGUUUUGUGCCACGCACUUGAUUAAGCACCCGACGUUCUUCUACAGUGCGCCCUUGCCCCUGGCUUUAGGUAGCGUCGUGUCCUCGGCUUGCCGUUCAUAAUCCAGGUAUGCGUCGACUGUCCAAGCUCCCGCUCACCAUUGGUGUUGCUCGAGUGUGGGGUCUGGUGUCGCCCAUAAAGGGAACACGUGAUGUGGGAUUGAGACAGUUCACAUAGCAACUCACAGCAAGGCAAAGGAUGCCCAUCCAGACUGGCAAAUAGCGGAGGCGGACACAAAAAGGUGGAUGUUGACUCCAUAGGAGUCUCAAUAGUACGCUCGUCCGUAAGAGCAGCAGGAGCACGAAGAUCCAGGAUAUACUUCUCUUAACAAAUAAAGAUGAAGCAGUAUGUUAGUUUCUGUGGGCAAGUAAGAGGAUCCUGCUGUUUACCAAGCAGCAUUUUAACAAAUAAGAGGAUCCACCUAGCGAUGACCUCCUUUCGAGGCGAAAGUUGAUGGACCCCGGACAUCAAAGUGAACAAGGUUGAAAGGAUGUUGAGACACUGUCUUGGUAUGAGCACAAGGUAACUAUAGCUGUUUACCAAGCCGACAACCCAGACGGUUUAAAGACAUCGUCGGAGACUGAUCCAAGAAGACCACGUCAAACUAAGGAUGCGAGAUGAGAGCCACAGAAGUGACCCCAGGUGACGAUGCCUCCUCUAAGCAUAACUGGUAGACAAGGUAACAGAGGUACAAUCAAUUCAUGUUAACAUAUGAAGCAGCAACUUGAUAACUAAUUUUUUUGUAGGAACAUACAUGCAAUUUGAUAUUUGUACACAUGUUGUUGGUUAACACAGAGUACAGAAGUUGUUAAACAGCUACCAACAGAGGACGUGAUUCAUGUUAAUUAACUGAACAAUGCUCGUGCAG
RNAcentral lists this long non-coding RNA (1817 nucleotides) under Hordeum vulgare. Its description in RNAcentral is "long non-coding RNA (HVUL_LNC007059)". The record is from RNAcentral. Lineage: Eukaryota; Viridiplantae; Streptophyta; Magnoliopsida; Poales; Poaceae.